RNAcentral lists this unclassified non-coding RNA (171 nucleotides) under Phylloporus sp. RNAcentral describes it as "partial contains small subunit ribosomal RNA, internal transcribed spacer 1, and 5.8S ribosomal RNA". The stretch from base 1 to 46 matches the Rfam family "Eukaryotic small subunit ribosomal RNA", at positions 1786 to 1831 of the family's 1831-position model. Lineage: Eukaryota; Fungi; Basidiomycota; Agaricomycetes; Boletales; Boletaceae. The record is from RNAcentral.
AAGUCGUAACAAGGUUUCCGUAGGUGAACCUGCGGAAGGAUCAUUAACAAAUUUUUGAGGGAUACACACCUGUGAAUUGGCCAGUCUAACUGGCAGCUUUAUGCAUGAUAGUUGUAGUCGUAUGUAAUGAUAAUUAAAAUACAACUUUUAACAAUGGAUCUCUAGGCUCUC